GACGAACGCUGGCGGCGUGCUUAACACAUGCGAGUCGAACGGAAAGGCCCUGCUUUUGUGGGGUGCUCGAGUGGCGAACGGGUGAGUAACACGUGAGUAACCUGCCCUUGACUUUGGGAUAACUUCAGGAAACUGGGGCUAAUACCGGAUAGGAGCUCCUGCUGCAUGGUGGGGGUUGGAAAGUUUCGGCGGUUGGGGAUGGACUCGCGGCUUAUCAGCUUGUUGGUGGGGUAGUGGCUUACCAAGGCUUUGACGGGUAGCCGGCCUGAGAGGGUGACCGGCCACAUUGGGACUGAGAUACGGCCCAGACUCCUACGGGAGGCAGCAGUGGGGAAUAUUGCACAAUGGGCGGAAGCCUGAUGCAGCAACGCCGCGUACGGGAUGACGGCCUUCGGGUUGUAAACCGCUUUCGCCUGUGACGAAGCGUGAGUGACGGUAAUGGGUAAAGAAGCACCGGCUAACUACGUG
This 468-nucleotide ribosomal RNA is filed under the name uncultured bacterium. RNAcentral describes it as "partial 16S ribosomal RNA". It matches the Rfam family "Bacterial small subunit ribosomal RNA", at positions 28 to 507 of the family's 1533-position model. The record is from RNAcentral.